UACGUAGGUGGCAAGCGUUGUCCGGAAUUACUGGGCGUAAAGGGCGCGUAGGCGGCCUUCUAAGUCGGACGUGAAAUCCCUCGGCUCAACCGAGGAACUGCGUCCGAUACUGAAAGGCUUGAAUCCGGGAGAGGGAUGUGGAAUUCCAGGUGUAGCGGUGAAAUGCGUAGAUAUCUGGAGGAACACCGGUGGCGAAGGCGGCAUCCUGGACCGGCAUUGACGCUGAGGCGCGAAAGCUAGGGGAGCAAACGGG
RNAcentral lists this ribosomal RNA (253 nucleotides) under uncultured bacterium. Its description in RNAcentral is "partial 16S ribosomal RNA". It matches the Rfam family "Bacterial small subunit ribosomal RNA", at positions 524 to 776 of the family's 1533-position model. The record is from RNAcentral.